UUCUCUCUCCCAGGUCCUCUUCCCCUCCCGUGCCCAUCUUGCAUAGCGACGGCGGCAGCGUGCUGGCUUGCUUCUGCGCGUUAGCGAUGCCAUCCCCUGUCGCCCCGUUCUCUCUUCUGCUCAGACACGGCUCUCCUCCGGCCUGCUAGCACAGCUGCAGCCGCCUCCUCCACUUGUGCAUGCACUACUGAAAUCCAACAUUGCAGAAGAAAACUUUCUAGAAUUUCUACCAGGUAGAUCAUGCUCUACCUUAUAUAUUUCAAAACAGGUCGUAGCCCGAAGACUAUAGGUCAAUUACAUGAAGCUCAUAUUACGCACCAUGGUGCAAGGCCAUGAGCAGCCUGUAGGUUAAAAGAAGAGAAGAAAAGAAUGGAAAGGGGAGGAAAAGGGGGAGAAGGCCGAUACAAUAUAGACUAGGCCACUAACAUAGUUCUGACAAUUCAUUCUCAUACUAAUAGAUGAGCUAAUUGAAUGUCCUACCCAGGUAUAUCAUGAAAUUUGCAUUUGUGAAUCUUUCCACGUGGGACAUAUU
Long non-coding RNA from Triticum aestivum (bread wheat), 532 nucleotides. RefSeq lists it as uncharacterized. The record is from RefSeq and is a predicted model, not a curated record. The transcript is spliced from 3 exons. Lineage: Eukaryota; Viridiplantae; Streptophyta; Magnoliopsida; Poales; Poaceae.